Molecule: non-coding RNA, 117 nt
Organism: Aedes aegypti (yellow fever mosquito)
Lineage: Eukaryota; Metazoa; Arthropoda; Insecta; Diptera; Culicidae
Source: Rfam
UGCCCAGCAACUCCUAUCCCUACCUCCUCGUGGUACUGGCCGGGGUACGAGUAACCUUGGGGAAGAUCGGGUAACCAACCCCCGGUGGGUACUUUGGUCGUAUGCUGACAGGGAAGG